Molecule: unclassified non-coding RNA, 334 nt
Filed under: soil metagenome
Description: partial contains 5.8S ribosomal RNA, internal transcribed spacer 2, and large subunit ribosomal RNA
Rfam family: 5.8S ribosomal RNA (bases 1-120)
Source: RNAcentral
GAUGAAGAACGCAGCGAAAUGCGAUAAGUAAUGUGAAUUGCAGAAUUCAGUGAAUCAUCGAAUCUUUGAACGCACAUUGCGCCCCCCAGUAUUCUGGCGGGCAUGCCUGUUCAAGCGUCAUUUCAACCAUCAAGCCCUGCUUGUGUUGGGGUCCUGCGGCUGCCCGCAGGCCCUGAAAACCAGUGGCGGGCUCGCUAGUCACACCGAGCGCAGUAGCACAUCUCGCUCAGGGCGUGCGGCGGGCUCCAGCCGUUAAAGCACCCACCUUUCGCAAGGUUGACCUCGGAUCAGGUAGGAAUACCCGCUGAACUUAAGCAUAUCAAUAAGCGGAGGA